This 450-nucleotide ribosomal RNA is filed under the name uncultured bacterium. RNAcentral describes it as "partial 16S ribosomal RNA". It matches the Rfam family "Bacterial small subunit ribosomal RNA", at positions 354 to 796 of the family's 1533-position model. The record is from RNAcentral.
GUGGGGAAUUUUGGACAAUGGGCGCAAGCCUGAUCCAGCCAUUCCGCGUGCAGGAAGAAGGCCUUCGGGUUGUAAACUGCUUUUGUACGGAACGAAACGGUCUGGGUUAAUACCCUGGGCUAAUGACGGUACCGUAAGAAUAAGCACCGGCUAACUACGUGCCAGCAGCCGCGGUAAUACGUAGGGUGCGAGCGUUAAUCGGAAUUACUGGGCGUAAAGCGUGCGCAGGCGGUUUUGUAAGACAGGCGUGAAAUCCCCGGGCUCAACCUGGGAAUUGCGCUUGUGACUGCAAGGCUGGAGUGCGGCAGAGGGGGAUGGAAUUCCGCGUGUAGCAGUGAAAUGCGUAGAUAUGCGGAGGAACACCGAUGGCGAAGGCAAUCCCCUGGGCCUGCACUGACGCUCAUGCACGAAAGCGUGGGGAGCAAACAGGAUUAGAUACCCUUGUAGUCC